CCUACGGGUGGCAGCAGUGAGGAAUAUUGGUCAAUGGGCUUACGCCUGAACCAGCCAAGUCGCGUGAGGGAAGACUGCCCUAUGGGUUGUAAACCUCUUUUGUCAGGGAGCAACGCCGGCUACGUGUAGCCGGACUGAGAGUACCUGAAGAAAAAGCAUCGGCUAACUCCGUGCCAGCAGCCGCGGUAAUACGGAGGAUGCGAGCGUUCUCCGGAUUUAUUGGGUUUAAAGGGUGCGUAGGCGGAAUGCCAAGUCAGCGGUAAAAUCGCGGGGCUCAACCUCGCUCCGCCGUUGAAACUGGCGUUCUUGAGUGGGCGAGAAGUAUGCGGAAUGCGUGGUGUAGCAGUGAAAUGCGUAGAUAUCGAGAGGAACACUCGUGGCGAAGGCGGGUUCCUGGACAUUAACUGACGCUGAGGCACGAAGGCCAGGGGAGCGAAAGGGAUUAGAUACCCCUGUAGUC
Molecule: ribosomal RNA, 460 nt
Filed under: uncultured bacterium
Lineage: Bacteria
Description: partial 16S ribosomal RNA
Rfam family: Bacterial small subunit ribosomal RNA
Source: RNAcentral